This 509-nucleotide ribosomal RNA is filed under the name Lysinibacillus sp. UBMPTV 05. RNAcentral describes it as "bacterial SSU rRNA". It matches the Rfam family "Bacterial small subunit ribosomal RNA", at positions 55 to 545 of the family's 1533-position model. Lineage: Bacteria; Bacillati; Bacillota; Bacilli; Caryophanales; Bacillaceae. The record is from RNAcentral.
AUGCAGUCGAGCGACAGAGAAGGAGCUUGCUCCUUUGACGUUUCGGCGGACGGGUGAGUAACACGUGGGCAACCUACCUUAUAGUUUGGGAUAACUCCGGGAAACCGGGGCUAAUACCGAAUAAUCUGUUCCACCUCAUGGUGGAACACUGAAAGACGGUUUCGGCUGUCGCUAUUAGAUGGGCCCGCGGCGCAUUAGCUAGUUGGUGAGGUAACGGCUCACCAAGGCGACGAUGCGUAGCCCACCUGAGAGGGUGAUCGGCCACACUGGGACUGAGACACGGCCCAAACUCCUACGGGAGGCAGCAGUAGGGAAUCUUCCACAAUGGGCGAAAGCCUGAUGGAGCAACGCCGCGUGAGUGAAGAAGGUUUUCGGAUCGUAAAACUCUGUUGUAAGGGAAGAACAAGUACAGUAGUAACUGGCUGUACCUUGACGGUACCUUAUUACAAAGCCACGGCUAACUACGUGGCCAGCAGCCCGCGGUAAUACCCAGGUGGCAGAGCGUUGUC